ACGCUCGACACCUACGGAAGGCAGCAGUAGGGAAUCUUCCACAAUGGACGCAAGUCUGAUGGAGCAACGCCGCGUGAGUGAAGAAGGUCUUCGGAUCGUAAAACUCUGUUGUUAGAGAAGAACACGAGUGAGAGUAACUGUUCAUUCGAUGACGGUAUCUAACCAGCAAGUCACGGCUAACUACGUGCCAGCAGCCGCGGUAAUCUGAGCGGGCUGGCAAGGC
RNAcentral lists this ribosomal RNA (223 nucleotides) under uncultured bacterium. RNAcentral's name for it is "partial 16S ribosomal RNA". It matches the Rfam family "Bacterial small subunit ribosomal RNA", at positions 326 to 539 of the family's 1533-position model. The record is from RNAcentral.